Molecule: long non-coding RNA, 987 nt
Organism: Lycium ferocissimum
Lineage: Eukaryota; Viridiplantae; Streptophyta; Magnoliopsida; Solanales; Solanaceae
Exons: 2
Source: RefSeq, a predicted model, not a curated record
AGCCAUGUACUCCGAGACAAUAAAAUUCAGGUUUUUUUACAAUUUCAUGCAAAUGGGAGUAAUUCGAGAAGUAGCCAUCUGAGACUAUGCUAAUUCUGAGUAAAAGAAAAAGUUAGAGUCAAUUCACAGAAGCUAAGGAAGCAGCAGAAAAUGAGCGGGAAAGUUGAUUAUAACUGAUUUUCGGAUUAGUUAGAUAAAGGGUAGUUACUAGUUGAGGGUAGCCGAGUCUAUUCCUUAUCAUGUACAGUUGGAUUAUAGCUAUCAAUUAGAAGCAUAUAUACUCCCAUUCAGAUCACAUUUUGUAGAUUGAGAAUUAGAAACUUUCAUCUCAAUGAAGGCAGAUUUCAUUUCUUCUCUCUAAAGCUUCUACAACUGUGUGUUAAUGGAUGUUGCUAGUUUUCACAUGGUAUCAGAUUCUCAAGGACAAGACCAUUUCUUCAUUGACGAUCAGUACAAAAAAUUGCUGAAUUUUCUGAGCAAAUCUGGUGCAAGCGAAUAAGGUGACUAUCACUCUAACAUGGCAGGGGCUUUUCAAUGGGAUUGGUAGAGAAAGAGAGAUAGACUAUAUAUUUUAAAGAGAUCACAGCCCAUAGCAGGAAUAAUAGUUGGUGUUGAUAAUAAAAUGGCAAUGUUGUGGCACAAAAGACUGGGACAUCCAUCAUCAAAUGUAAUGAGGCACAUUAUAAGGUUCAAAGAUGUAGUAGGAAAUGCUUUGCAGCAUUGUUGUGAAAUAUGCCCCCUAGCAAAGCAGCAUGGAAUAAAAUUUCCUAUUAGUACUAUAUACUAGAACAACUAUUGUUUUUGAAUUACUGCACUUAGAUGUUUGGGGUCCUUACAAGGUACCCACCUAUGACAAUGGACAUUAUUUUGUUACUGUUGUUGAUGAUUUUAGCAGAUACACUUGGGCUUGUUUGAUACAAUCCAAGGCAGAUGUGAUAGUUGUAUUGACAAGUUUUUUGUGGAUGAUAAAGACUCAGUUUGAUGCUA